AGUUCAGGGAGGUAGUGACAAUAAAUACCUUACAGAGGUCUCGUUAACCGAGAUCUCUCAAACGGAAUGAGUACAACGUGAAUCCUUUAACGAGGAUCGACUGGAGGGCAAGCCUGGUGCCAGCAGCCGCGGUAAUUCCAGCUCCAGUAGCGUAUAUUAAAGCUGUUGCGGUUAAAAAGCUCGUAGUUGGAUAUCAGUGCGUGUCCGGUCCGGUAUGCCUGGCGCUGUCGCUCACGCGGCAAUGCUGGGCUCCCAAAUAUCGGCUGGCCGCAUUCAAUCGUGCCGGAUCCGUCGACGGGCCGUUCUUCGGAGGGGCCUGUUGGCGACCGGCGACGUUACCUUGAACAAAUUAGAGUGCUCAAAGCAGGCUCUGAAUGCCUGUAUACAUAUUCAUGGAAUUGGAGAAUACGUCCCUGGCUCGAUUUGGUUGGUUUUGAGAGUCGAAGGGAAAUGAUUAAUAGGGACUGACGGAGGCAUUCGUAUUGCGACGCGAGGGGUGAAAUCCUGUGACCGUCGCACGACGAACUACUGCGAAAGCAUUUGCCGAGAAUGUUUUCAUUAGUCAAGAACGAAAGUUAGAGGUUCGAAGGCGAUCAGAUACCGCCCUAGUUCUAACCGUAAACGAUGUCGACCAGCAAUCCGCAACGGUCACUACACGGACUGUGCGGGCAGCUUCCCCGGGGAAACCAGAGUUUUUGGACUCCGGGGGAAGUAUGGUUGCAAAGCUGAAACUUAAAGGAAUUGACGGAAGGGCACCACCAGGAGUGGAGCUUGCGGCUUAAUUUGACUCAACACGGGACAACUCACCAGGCCCGGACACCGUAAGGAUUGACAGACUGAUAGCUCUCUCUUGAUUCAGUGGGUGGUGGUGCAUGGCCGUUCUUAGUUGGUGGAGUGAUUUGUCUGGUUUAUUCCGAUAACGAACGAGACUCUGGCCUAUUAAACUUGACGCUGUCAGUCUCUUGUGACUGCGGCGCGCUUCUUA
RNAcentral lists this ribosomal RNA (985 nucleotides) under Tetraclita squamosa. Its description in RNAcentral is "SSU rRNA". It matches the Rfam family "Eukaryotic small subunit ribosomal RNA", at positions 453 to 1396 of the family's 1831-position model. Lineage: Eukaryota; Metazoa; Arthropoda; Thecostraca; Balanomorpha; Tetraclitidae. The record is from RNAcentral.